Molecule: ribosomal RNA, 497 nt
Filed under: uncultured bacterium
Lineage: Bacteria
Description: partial 16S ribosomal RNA
Rfam family: Bacterial small subunit ribosomal RNA
Source: RNAcentral
GAUGAACGCUGGCGGCGUGCCUAAUACAUGCAAGUCGAGCGAACAGACGAGGAGCUUGCUCCUCUGACGUUAGCGGCGGACGUGUGAGUAACACGUGGAUAACCUACCUAUAAGACUGGGAUAACUUCGGGACACCGGAGCUAAUACCGGAUAAUAUAUUGAACCGCAUGGUUCAAUAGUGAAAGACGGUUUUGCUGUCACUUCUAGAUGGAUCCGCGCCGCAUUAGCUAGUUGGUAAGGUAACGGCUUACCAAGGCAACGAUGCGUAGCCGACCUGAGAGGGUGAUAGGCCACACGGGAACUGAGACACGGUCCAGACUCCUACGGGAGGCAGCAGUAGGGAAUCUUCCGCAAUGGGCGAAAGCCUGACGGAGCAACGCCGCGUGAGUGAUGAAGGUCUUCGGAUCGUAAAACUCUGUUAUUAGGGAAGAACAAAUGUGUAAGUAACUAUGCACGUCUUGACGGUACCUAAUCAGAAAGCCACGGCUAACUACGUG